AUCUCCGUCUGCUCGGAAAGUGUUGAGACUGAUGCAGAAUCCACGUCAGAGCGAGGCCGGCCUGUCAUGUAAACAGGACAUCAGUGGAAGGAGGAGAGCAGAAGAUGUAACCAGGUAAGGAAACUGUGACACAUGGGGGAGAGAACACGGAGGCGAAGACAGAAGUCACACCUCUAACCUCUGGAAGACAAAAAGCCACCCAAGGCCUAAUUUACGAUGGGACUCGUGCAGUGCUUUCUGAUUUCAUGCUCGACCUUGAUGGCGCUCAGCUUUCCACCGAGAGAGGUGACCCAAUAUCACAUUAUAAACCGAAGGAGUUGUAAAAUGUGUCCUGCAGGUGAGUAUCAGAAGACGUGCACAGAGUGCGCGCCCUGUCCCGCAGGAAGUUACACCACGCGCCAGAACCGGGAAGACAGAUGCAGCAGCUGCUCUAGAGACUGCAGACCAAAUUUUCACCUGAAGGUGAUUCAGAACUGCACGGACAAGUCAGAUGUAAAGUGCGUGUGCGAGGAGGGUUACAUGUGCACGCAGGAGGUGCCUUUCUCGGCUAACUGUCGAUACUGCGAAAGGAUCCCGGAGAAGGACACUGUUGAGGCUGCGACCAUCCUCUCAGAGAACCAUAGAAAAGAAACUCCCACAUCCUUCUCAGGACGCAACAGAGCUGCUGGGGAACUCUGCAAUUCACACAAGUGCGGCCCACAGUCUUUUCUGGCGACACAAAAUGACACAAAUUCCCAAACGGAUAAGAUGAAUGGUCUGCUUCCCUCCACGGUAACGUUUCUAUUUGCUGGGGCAUUUGUGGCUCUCGUGGUUCUGGGUUACAUUGGUCGACUUCAAAUCCAAUCCUGCUUCAAGAGGGCUGUUGCAGUGCUUAUGCUGUGUAAUAAGGGAGGUCGAAAAGCUCCUUGCAAGUUAAAGGAGUCAACUCAUCACUUCCCCCGAGACUCUUUCAGUGCGCAGCAGCAGCCGCUGCCCCUUCCUGCAGCCAAUCUGGGUCCAGUUCACGUCCAUAAUCCAGGAACGAUCAUCUUCAGUUUGCUGAGUCAGUUUACGGGUCAGGUUGGCCCGACCAUUGAAGACAGGAGUACAGCCGAGAGGGAGACAGGAGACGAGAGAGACUGUCCCGUGUUCCAGCCUGCACCUUCUCCCAGUAUUCACAUCUCCGAGGAGGAGAGGAGCCGAGAGAGCGACAGCAUUUUCUUCCCUUUUCAGGAACAAGGAAAGGACUGCCACAUUUCCAAAGAGGAAGUCCUGUGAGGCAUCUCUCAAAAAUGUAACACUGAUGGCUAGAUCUGCUGGAGGACAGGAAGGAAGGAAGGAAGCAGGGAACACUACAAUAACCUCAAUCGCUGUCUGGCAAACUGUGAAUCACAGUAUUCAGAGGAAAUAUUUUUACCUGCAGGUUCUGGGAAAACUUGUCUGUACACACCAGAAACCAAAGACAAACAGAAGAAGACAAACUAUGAGAUUGUUUUCCUUGUAGGAUACGCGAUGUAAUUAAAAGUUUAAAGCUCACUUUGUUCCGAAUAAACACAAGACUUUUAAGGUAAAUGUAUUUUUAAUAAAACGUUGGUAAAAAUGCAUGAGUUCACAUCUGGCUCAGGACUAUAUACAGUAUCUACACAGACAUUGGACACGCAGUCAGAUCCCUGACUCCUUGGGCAAGACCAGCCAUUCUCUUUUUAAGUGGCCUCCGUGGGAUAAUAUAUUAGUCUUAAACAUUUGGCUGCUCUGCAGCAACAGAUCUGGAAUAAACUCUCACAACGUGACCGAUGAAAGAAAGAGAAAGAAAUCCAUUUUUUCCAUCUCGACCUCAGCAGAGUCAGAUUUCCCUGAGUGCUUUGAACCCUGGGAGGGAGUCUCUCGCGUUGGUGGUCACGUCUGUGGACUCCACAGUCCAGACAGUCUCACCGGUGGUUUCCACAGCGAUGACGGCGUCAGGUGUCGAACCAUCCCGAUGCUGAGCAACAGAACCCCACGGUUCCAACCUCGUGCACAGCAGUUCUCCUGCUCUGCUCCAUAUUUACAGUGUCUCUCCUAUGUUUUUGUCCACUCGCUCUUCUGGAAAUCAGGUUUCCAACUUCUUGUUCACAGUUCUUGCUGCCUCCAGCUGUUUGGAUUAGGACACACUUGCGGCCAGAUGUCCAUGAGUGAUGCCAAAGGUGCAUCUUUGUAAUCCAGCUCAAGGAUCUAUUUCGAUUUUAGCAAAAUUCCCAGCUUCCUGCACAGGCUUUGUUACUUCCUCAUCAUCGGAGCACGGUGACACCGGCUCAUGUGUUUUAGCCAACAGGUAACCUGGGGGCAGGUUGACAGAAACUUGCAUCACUUAUCUCCCGUACACUCCCAUCUAUACAUUUUGGCACAGUUAUGCUACAGAUCUACUCACCACAUUUGGAUGUGAUCCACUGCUGACCUGCUUUUUUUUUCAAGACAACACACACUGCAACUGUUAUCAACAGAAAAGCAGCCAUUUGCAUUAGCCACAGCGUAUCUGUAGACGUGUGCAAAAGAGAUAUUUUAGUAACGCGUAAACACCUUAAACACGUCUUUUUUAUGGCUGCACAGGAAGCGCAGCGCACUUUACCUUUGCUUGUUUCCACGGUGAUGACAGUGACAGGUGUUACAGGGGGUGGGGGUCUGGUGGUCGGCGACACCGGCCGACACUGCGUGCAGGGCCGGUCUGUGCAUUCAUAGCCCGGUUUACAUUUGCACACAGAGUCAUGGGUGGCGUUGCAGUGUGACUUGUACUCCAUGUUUGCUGGGGGGGGAGUGAAGGAACAGUUAAACAUUUCAUAAAUCAGAAACUGCGUCAGUUUCACUGAUACUACCUAGUAUAAGUCAUAAGUUACUGAUGACUGUGGAUGUGUGGACUUACUGAAAGCUUGAUUUCAUUUUGACCUAACGCUUCAUUACUUACAUGCGAUUGGAUGUGAAUUCAACAAACAAACUACACAUAUGAGCCCGCUGGACCCUGCAGGCAUCACAGAACAUUGGUUUCCAUUACCUGCAGAAAUGUUGCGCAACAACCACAUUGCAGUCUAUCCGUGUUAAAGCUUGUUUUCUUUCUUAGGUUCAUUUGGGGGGCAAAAAUUUAGCUAAUAUAGAGCUGAAUGGUCUGUGGUCUCACAUCGCAACUCUUGGAUAAUCUACCCAAGCUCGUAAUGUGGUCUGUGGCCUGGCCCCUCCAAAGAGAGAUACCGUUUAAUUUCAAGAGCAAGCGUGAAAUGUUUAUGUGGGCAAACCUUUUCCACAUGUUAGUUUCCAUGCUAGUUAAGUGAAGCCCCUGCUUCGACAUUGGCCGAAGGGAUUUUGACAGUUUUAACACCCACGUUAAUUCCUCCCAAUGUUUGCCUGACUCUAGAGCCGUUUGCAGACAGAAAUGGGCAAACCGCCACCAAGUUUUCUCGUAUUUGGUUCCCACGCUGACAUUUAAAAAAAAAAUUAAAAAAUAAAAACCAGACGAGGCUGUUUUUGGCUCGCCUGUCGUAGCACAGGAACCCAAGAAGCGGGCAUGACAUUUCUAUCUGCUGCUCUUUGCUCUGCUGUUGGGUUGGUUUCUUCUAACCUUUUUCUCUGUUUUUCUUUUACUUUUUCCACUGACUUGACUUCAACUUGCACCGCGGUCGUCUUGUUUUGACAGACCACUUUCAACCCUAGUCUCUACCCCCCCCCCACCCUUUGAACGUAUCUCUUUCUCUCUGAGUGCUAACAAACCCUGACAAACAAAAUGGAAAAAUCCCCUUCAAUGCUUGAGCUGCAGGUUUCUUCAUCUACGAGCAAAGAUGAGUAACGAGACAAAGAUCGCCACGAUUUUGUGCACGACCUGGACAAGGUUGGGGGUCGUGCAGAGAGAAAUGACUGUCACGAUCAAAGACUAAAUCACCCCUCCAUGACACUAGCAAUGAGUCACAAUUAGGGAACUAAACUGACAGUGUGUGUCUGUGUGUGUCUCCUCUGUGGAUUCUAUAUUAGAGAUUAAUUAAAGCCUUGACACAAUCUUUCAAAUGUACACAAUUGAUAAUGUUACUGUAGGAUGUUGCUAACGCCUGCAGAAAAGCUGAAAGGACUCACAUGCACUGCAGCUUCCACAAAAGUCGCAGCUCCACUCCAUGUUGUACGUCUGAAUGUAGCGCUGAUCCUCGCACGGCUUGCACUUAGUCGGAGAGGAGGCAGUACAGUGCUGAACCACAUAGUGACCUGGGAACACACAUGAAUCCACAUUUGGCUUUUAGUUCAGCAUCAUAACCUUUGCAGUGCACGUUUGUGUUUGUGUGUCCGGUUCUGUGGGGGUGGGUUUGUGUGGCGGGUGUCGCCGUACCUGGCCGACACUUGUUACAGCAGCUUUGUUCACCAUGACUGCUGCGAUAUUGUGUUUCAUUGCACCCUAAGGAACGCAGCAAAGGUGCGAAACACAGGGUGCACGAGAAAGUGAUUGCAAGGUAGCAGAGCUGCUGCAUCUGAGGAGAGAACAGAGGGCGAAGACGAGAGAAUAAGGAGGGAAACCCGGCAGACACAAUAAAGGACUGUGGUGAUGAAGCUCAGUCACGUUUCUGCAGAAGUUCAAAAGAAACACACAAACGUGCGCUCGGGGUUUCUGCUGUAAUUUAACCCUUAAAAUAACCAAAGUAGACUUACAAUAAUUUACACAAUCAAUGUUCCACAUGACAGGACAUUUAUCUUACUAAUCAAAAUGGUUUCUUUGGUUCUGACCUACCAUGGACGAGGAGGCAGAAGAAGCUGUUUCCCGGGACCCACCGAGUGUGAGACUGAACAGGGGACCAGAAGUCUGUCAAGGGGACGAUUCAUAAAGUCUGAUUACUCAUAAUGAAAGACCCACAUUUAUGGUGGGUUUUUCUAAUCUCUCUGCUC
Takifugu rubripes (torafugu) is the source of this 4869-nucleotide long non-coding RNA. The record is from Ensembl. Lineage: Eukaryota; Metazoa; Chordata; Actinopteri; Tetraodontiformes; Tetraodontidae.